This 354-nucleotide ribosomal RNA is filed under the name Tomosvaryella sp. Jeff Skevington 16939. RNAcentral describes it as "partial 12S ribosomal RNA". Lineage: Eukaryota; Metazoa; Arthropoda; Insecta; Diptera; Pipunculidae. The record is from RNAcentral.
UAAAAAUUUAAUUUAAAAUAUUUAAGUAGUAUUAGUUAAGGUCUUUAAAUUUAAAAAAUUUGGCGGUAUUUUAGUCUAUUCAGAGGAACCUGUUUUAUAAUCGAUAAUCCACGAUGGAUCUUACUUAAAUUUAUUUUAGUUUAUAUAUCGUCGUUAUAAGAAUAUUUUAUAAGAAUAAUAAUUUUCUUGAUUUUUUAAUUUAAAAUAUAUCAGAUCAAGAUGUAGCUUAUGUUUAAGUUUAUAAUGGGUUACAUUUAUUGUAAUAUUGGAAAUUAAUAUGUAAUUUAUUUUUUAAAAUUGGAUUUGAUAGUAAAUUUAUAUAGAUUAAUAAAUUGAUUAUAGCUCUAAAAUAUG